AUAGCGUAAACGCGCCAAUUCCUGCAAAGUCAUUUCUGUUGUUCGGUCGGUUUGGCAGAUCAAGGAAAUAUGGAUAAACCUGCAAAAAAGAAAAUACUGUGCAGCUACAACAAACAAUUGGAAGCAACAAAGACGUGGGUUAAGCCCGUCAGUGGUGACUCGAUGAAAGCGUUCUGUACUUUAUGCCGUCGGGAAUUCUCAAUUGGCCAUGGAGGGGAGAAUGACUUAACUCAGCAUGCAUCCAUGGAAAUGCACAAGAAUGCCAUGCUAGCUAAUAAAGGUGCUAGCAAUAUCGGUGCAUUAUUCGUAAGUAACUGCGGGAUAUUUUGGAUGAUUAUGUACCGUCCGAAGGUGAGCCCGUGUAUUUCUUAGUUGCCAGUGAUGCCUCAAACAAGGGAAAUAGACAAAUGUUUCCAGUGCGUGUGAUAUUUGUGUUUAAUGGAAUGGAAUGGAGUGCAGUGCAAGUUGUGAUGAAACUACAAAUGGCAUACAUCAAGCUCUGAUGAACUGUCUGGAAAAGCAUGAGCUGGAUAUUAGACACAUCACAGCCUAUGCAGCAGAUUACACCAAUGUCAACUUUGGAAAACACCACUCCGUUUACCCGUUAUUGAGCAGCGCCAACAAUCCCAUUCUAAAAGCUCACAUAGCUCAUAAUGCCUGCAAGCACGCCUGCUGUCAGUGGAUAUUGAGACCAUUGUUUUAAAGCUCUACAUGCGCUUCUCAGUAUAUGCUUCCCGAAGAGAGGAACUGGGUGCAUUUUUUGCCAUUGUUGACAUUGAGUGGCGUGAAAUUCUGCGACAUGUUUGUACACGAUUGGCCCUCGCUUCAUCCAGCUGUAGUUCGUCUCCUGCAAAGCUGGCCAGCUCUUACUUCAUACUUCAGGUCCCUUGGGGAGACCUGCCCUGUGGCACUGAAGAGUAUCAUUACAUACAUUGACAAGUGGUUUGAUUUGUCACCAGAAAAUGUCAUGGUGAAACUGAAACCGAUUGGCCUCUAUGAGCUCUCCUUCACUGACCUGGAGCAAGUGGUGGUUGCCCUCAAAAUGACAGAGACAGUCAGUAUGGACCAACUCUAUGAAGAGUUUUGUGCUAGCCGGGAGGAAAUACAGAAAACCAGACAGGAUACCACAAAAUACACCAGUGAGAAGUGGGUGGCAGUUUUUCAAAACCUAGAGAAAGCCAACUUGAUCAACAUGUUCAGGAUUGGUCUCAUUUGUCCUCAGUGUGCCAGGCUCAAAUGCCUUUUGUAGAGAGGAUUUUCUCUCUGAUGUCCAUUUAAAUGGUCAGACUCAAGAAACCGAUGCAGCACAGAGCUGAUCACAAAUGAACUUCAAAUAUCUGUGAACUGUGACUUGUCAUGUAAGGACUUCUCUCUGGCUAUGCAAAAGGACAAAGGACUUCUUGAAUCAGUCAAGAGCAGCAAAAAAUAUCCAUGGAAAAAGUAGACUUGGCACUUGGCUCUUCUGAGAAUCUCCUUUGAACCUGAGCAGUUUCACCACUAGAUCUAGGCUGUCCAACUGGGAAGAAAGUGCCAUUCAUAUGUGCGCUCUCGAUGAGUUUAAGGUAGUCUCCUUUGGAAGAGUGCUUGUCAAGUGGUGUUUGGAAUAUUGCGAAAUCCCCAACAUGGUUUUGAAUGCGGUCUGGCUGGAGACAUUCUCCUCCUUUAUCUUCUCCACCUCUGACUGCGUAAACUUCAAACUGUGUUUCAAUUCUAUUACAUCCUUAAACAGAUCAUCAACCCUUUUGUUGGUACAAUCCAUACAGAUUUUUAUAUAACUGUUUUUGUUGAUCGAGUAGUUCAUGGAGUGUAGUGCUUGAAACGUAUUCCUCUUCUGAAUUGAGUAUUUGUAUUU
This is a long non-coding RNA of Oncorhynchus kisutch (coho salmon), 1852 nucleotides long. RefSeq lists it as uncharacterized. The record is from RefSeq and is a predicted model, not a curated record. NCBI's taxonomy places the organism in Eukaryota, Metazoa, Chordata, Actinopteri, Salmoniformes, Salmonidae. The transcript has 3 exons.